The sequence is a transfer RNA, 88 nucleotides long. It matches the Rfam family "tRNA". Rfam says of the family: Transfer RNA (tRNA) molecules are approximately 80 nucleotides in length.
GGUGAGAUAGCCAAGGGGCUGACGGCGCUCCUCUGCUAAGGGAGUAUACAUUAUAAAAGUAUCCGGGGUUCGAAUCCCCGUCUCACCG